RNAcentral lists this ribosomal RNA (492 nucleotides) under uncultured bacterium. Its description in RNAcentral is "partial 16S ribosomal RNA". It matches the Rfam family "Bacterial small subunit ribosomal RNA", at positions 29 to 507 of the family's 1533-position model. The record is from RNAcentral.
AGUGAACGCUGGCGGUAGGCCUAACACAUGCAAGUCGAACGGCAGCACAGUAAGAGCUUGCUCUUACGGGUGGCGAGUGGCGGACGGGUGAGGAAUACAUCGGAAUCUACUUUUUCGUGGGGGAUAACGUAGGGAAACUUACGCUAAUACCGCAUACGACCUACGGGUGAAAGCAGGGGAUCUUCGGACCUUGCGCGAUUGAAUGAGCCGAUGUCGGAUUAGCUAGUUGGCGGGGUAAAGGCCCACCAAGGCGACGAUCCGUAGCUGGUCUGAGAGACUGAUCAGCCGCACUGGAACUGGGACACGGUCCAGACUCCUACGGGAGGCAGCAGUGGGGAAUAUUGGACAAUGGGCGCAAGCCUGAUCCAGCCAUACCGCGUGGGUGAAGAAGGCCUUCGGGUUGUAAAGCCCUUUUGUUGGGAAAGAAAAGCAGCAGGUUAAUACCCCGCUGUUCUGACGGUACCCAAAGAAUAAGCACCGGCUAACUUCGUG